CCCUUUGAAGGCAGGAAGAUCUCAAGGGCCCCUGGGUCCUUCCCCCCAAUUUGUCCUUCAAAGACAUUGUUAACAAUUGUAGAAAAAACCCACAUAAUAUUAAAUUUAGUACUAUUACCCGUUAGCCGGUAGGUAGGUCUGCGGGGGGAGAUGGAUUCUCAGUGUCGCACAACACAUCUUAGCACGAGUCCAUUUUGUGACUGAAACAUCUACACCCACAGCUCUGUGUUCUCUCCUCCCGCCCUGACUUGUUCUUAGUUCCUCUUUCGCUUCUAUAAACUUGACUACUUUACAUCUCACGUAAAUGGAAUCUUAGGGUAUUUGAGUUUCUGUGACGCGGUUAGUUCACUUAGCAGCAAGUCCAGAACAAUCUCCUUGUCUAAGCCUGGACACCACCUCACUGUACACAGAUGCUCCGUGCUCUUCAUCCCUCCUCUGUCUGCGGACAUAUGGGCUGCUUCCACCUCUUGACUCUUGAGAACGACACAGCAAUGUACGGGGAUGUUCAUAAAUGGCUUCCAGUUCCUAUGGAUAUGAAGUCUGAGCUGAGUUUGUGCAGUCACGUGGUGAGACAAGCUGAGCGUCCUCGUCAGAAGGAGACACUGACAGUCCGCCUCCAGUGUGACUCGUUUGUCCAGAUGAUACUUCCAGACUCUGCUGAGAAGAUGGCGACCUAAGCCAGUGUGGUCCCCGGAAACCCAUGGUGAAUUCCGUGUUGUCUGCCGGCACGUCUGGCCCGUGGACUCACAGACUCAGAGAGAUAGAGAGACGGCAUGAGCGGAGGAGGGACAGAGAG
This is a long non-coding RNA of Suricata suricatta (meerkat), 796 nucleotides long. RefSeq lists it as uncharacterized. Lineage: Eukaryota; Metazoa; Chordata; Mammalia; Carnivora; Herpestidae. The transcript is spliced from 3 exons. The record is from RefSeq and is a predicted model, not a curated record.